This 460-nucleotide ribosomal RNA is filed under the name Scriptaphyosemion geryi. RNAcentral describes it as "partial 12S ribosomal RNA". It matches the Rfam family "Bacterial small subunit ribosomal RNA", at positions 875 to 1527 of the family's 1533-position model. The record is from RNAcentral. Lineage: Eukaryota; Metazoa; Chordata; Actinopteri; Cyprinodontiformes; Nothobranchiidae.
GGGAACUACGAGCAAAAGCUUAAAACCCAAAGGACUUGGCGGUGCUUUAGUCCCACCUAGAGGAGCCUGUUCUAGAACCGAUAACCCCCGUUAAACCUCACCUUUUCUUGUUAAUCCCCGCCUAUAUACCGCCGUCGUCAGCUUACCCUGUAAAGCUAUUUAGUAAACAAAAUUGGCUCAGCCCAAAACGUCAGGUCGAGGUGUAGCGAAUGAAAAGGAAAGAAAUGGGCUACAUUUCCUAGCUUAGGAAACAACGAAAUACGCAAUGAAACAGAGUAUGAAGGAGGAUUUAGCAGUAAAUAGAAAAUAGAGUGUUCUGUUGAAACUGGCCCUGAAGCGCGCACACACCGCCCGUCACUCUCCCCAAGCCUAUUAUUAACAUUAAAUAAAACCCUAUCUCUGGUAAAGGGGAGGCAAGUCGUAACAUGGUAAGUGUACCGGAAGGUGCACUUGGAAAAAC